UGCAAGUCGAGCGCUGUAACGUACGCAUGGGCAGACGGGUGAGUAACGCGUGGGGCAUACCCUUUUCUACGGAAUAACGCAGGGAAACUUGUGCUAAUACCGUAUGAGCCCUUCGGGGGAAAGAUUUAUCGGGAAAGGAUUGGCCCGCGUUGGAUUAGCUAGUUGGUGGGGUAAAGGCCUACCCAGGCGACGAUCCAUAGCUGGUCUGAGAGGAUGAUCACCCACAUUGGGACUGAAACACGGCCCAAACUCCUACGGGAGGCAGCGGUGGGGAAUAUUGGACAAUGGGCGCAAGCCUGAUCCAGCCAUGCCGCGUGAGUGAUGAAGGCCCUAGGGUUGUAAAGCUCUUUCACCGGAGAAGAUAAUGACGGUCAUCCCGAGAASAMGCCCCGGACUAACUUCGUGCCCAGCAGCCGCGGUAAUACGAAGGGGGACUAGCGUUGUUCGGAAUUACUGGGUCGUAAAGCGCACGUAGGCGGACAUUAUAAGUCAGGGGUGAAAUCCCGGGGCUCAACCCCGGGAACUGCCUUUGAUACUGGGUGUCUUGAGUGUGGAAGAGGUCAGUGGAAUUGCCAGUGUAGAGGUGAAAUUCUUAGAUAUUCGCAAGAACACCAGUGGCGAAAGCAGCUGACUGGUCCAUUACUGACGCUGAGGUGCGAAAGCGUGGAGAGCAAACAGGAUUAGAUACCCUGGUAGUACACGCUGCUAAACGAUGAAUGUUAGCCGUCCGGGCAGUCUACUGUUCGGUGGCGCAGCUAACGCAUUAAACAUUCCGCCUGGGGAGUACGGUCCGCAAGAUUAAAACUCAAAGGAAUUGUACCGGGGGGCCCGCACAAGCGGUGGAGCAUGUGGUUUAAUUCGAAGCAACGCGCAGAACCUUACCAGCCCUUGACAUGCCCGGACCGGUCCAGAGAUGGACUUUUCCCUUUGGGGACCGGGACACAGGUGUUGCAUGGCUGUCGUCAGCUCGUGUCGUGAGAUGUUGGGUUAAGUCCCGCAACGAGCGCAACCCUCGCCCUUAGUUGCCAGCAUUUGGUUGGGCACUCUAAGGGGACUGCCGGUGAUAAGCCGAGAGGAAGGUGGGGAUGACGUCAAGUCCUCAUGGCCCUUACGGGCUGGGCUACACACGUGCUACAAUGGUGGUGACAGUGGGCAGCGAAGGGGUGACCCCGAGCUAAUCUCCAAAAGCCAUUUCAGUUCGGAUUGCACUGUGCAACUCGAGUGCAUGAAGUUGGAAUCGCUAGUAAUCGCGGAUCAGCACGCCGCGGUGAAUACGUUCCCGGGCCUUGUACACACCGCCCGUCACACCAUGGGAGUUGGUUUUACCAGAAGGCGUUGCGGUAACCAGCAAUGGAGGCAGGCGACCACGGUAGGGUCAGAGACUGGGGUGAAGUCGAACAA
RNAcentral lists this ribosomal RNA (1401 nucleotides) under Ensifer sp. M90. RNAcentral's name for it is "bacterial SSU rRNA". It matches the Rfam family "Bacterial small subunit ribosomal RNA". The record is from RNAcentral. Lineage: Bacteria; Pseudomonadati; Pseudomonadota; Alphaproteobacteria; Hyphomicrobiales; Rhizobiaceae.